GAUGAACGCUGACAGAAUGCUUAACACAUGCAAGUCGAUGGGGAAGUGGUGCUUGCACCAUGGUAACCAUGGCGGACGGGUGAGUAACGCGUAAGGGACUUACCUGCAGGACUGGGAUAACAGGGGGAAACUCCUGACAAGACCGGAUAAUGUCAUGGAGCUGCAUGGCUCUGUGAUUAAAGGAGACGCCUGCGGAGAGCCUUGCGUCCUAUUAGCUAGUUGGUGAGGUAAUGGCUCACCAAGGCGAAGAUAGGUAGCCGGCCUGAGAGGGUGGACGGCCACAAGGGGACUGAGAUACGGCCCUUACUCCUACGGGAGGCAGCAGUGGGGAAUAUUGGACAAUGGGGGCAACCCUGAUCCAGCAAUUCUGUGUGCACGAAGAAGGUUUUCGGAUUGUAAAGUGCUUUCAGCAGGGAAGAAGAAAGUGACGGUACCUGCAGAAGAAGCGACGGCUAAAUACGUGCCAGCAGCCGCGGUAAUACGUAUGUCGCGAGCGUUAUCCGGAAUUAUUGGGCAUAAAGGGCAUCUAGGCGGCCUGACAAGUCAGGGGUGAAAACCUGCGGCUCAACCGCAGGCCUGCCUUUGAAACUGUGAGGCUGGAGUACCGGAGAGGUGGACGGAACUGCACGAGUAGAGGUGAAAUUCGUAGAUAUGUGCAGGAAUGCCGAUGAUGAAGAUAGUUCACUGGACGGUAACUGACGCUGAAGUGCGAAAGCCGGGGGAGCGAACA
This 730-nucleotide ribosomal RNA is filed under the name uncultured Fusobacteriota bacterium. RNAcentral describes it as "bacterial SSU rRNA". It matches the Rfam family "Bacterial small subunit ribosomal RNA", at positions 28 to 774 of the family's 1533-position model. Lineage: Bacteria; Fusobacteriati; Fusobacteriota. The record is from RNAcentral.